AUUUCGCUUCGCUCAAACAAUUUUGGCAGAGGAAAGUCCGAACACCCUUUAAAAUUUAUUUUAAAGAAGCAAGCGAUGGAUAACGUCCAUCGGUCGCGUGGUAACACGCGAUUAGGGAAAGUGUCACAGAGACAAUACUAGCCCCGCAAUUGCGGGGUAAAAGGUGAAAAGUCUGCGAGUGUCUUUUAUGUCCCUUUGGGGCUCAUCGGACUAUCGCAGUUCGCAAUAAAGCAAUUUAUUGCUGAUGGCAAACCCCGCUUGGUGCAAGGCCGUACUUCCCGAUUUAUCGGGAUUUGUGCCGCUUGAUCCCGCAGAGUAAUUUGCGGGGCAGAUAAAUGACCGCAUAAAACAGAAUUCGGCUUACGGACGCGCAAUCGAA
This 379-nucleotide RNase P RNA is filed under the name Candidatus Niyogibacteria bacterium RIFCSPHIGHO2_01_FULL_45_28. RNAcentral's name for it is "RNase P RNA component class A". It matches the Rfam family "Bacterial RNase P class A". From Rfam's summary of the family: Ribonuclease P (RNase P) is a ubiquitous endoribonuclease, found in archaea, bacteria and eukarya as well as chloroplasts and mitochondria. Lineage: Bacteria; Candidatus Niyogiibacteriota. The record is from RNAcentral. RNAcentral also lists the same sequence under 2 other names.